UUCUGCUUCAUUCCAUGGCCAGAGCAAGCCACGUGGGCAAGCCGGAAGCCGGGGGGUGGGGGGGGAAGUACCCUCCACCCACCAGGAAACCAUGGCAAGCGGUGGGUGCAGAUGCAAAAACCAAGGCCAAACAGCUGAGUUUUCUGCCCUGGAGGAGGAAACUGGUCUCUGAAAGCCAGAAGACUCUCACAUUACAUCAUUCCUGCCAGCUGCUGUCAAGAGCUGCUAAGCUGUCCUCAAGUCCUGUGUCUGAUGUCAAGCUAAUAACAGAUUUAGGGUGCAUUAGUAAAGGUAUCUUAAUCAAGUCUAGGUGCCUUCGAGAUUAGACUCAGCCAUGAUGAGCAACUAAGGAUUAGCAAGAAAGAUUACAAAUUGUUUCCAGGAAUUUAUUUCUUUAAACACUGAUUAUAUGUAUAGUCUUAAGUCAAAUUAAAAUGUUGUUUAUGUUC
This 449-nucleotide small RNA is filed under the name Pongo abelii (Sumatran orangutan). Its description in RNAcentral is "processed transcript". Lineage: Eukaryota; Metazoa; Chordata; Mammalia; Primates; Hominidae. The record is from RNAcentral.